Molecule: small RNA, 29 nt
Filed under: Bombyx mori (domestic silkworm)
Lineage: Eukaryota; Metazoa; Arthropoda; Insecta; Lepidoptera; Bombycidae
Description: ovarian small RNA-27318
Source: RNAcentral
UCCCGGAUUUUAUUGAACAUUCUACUAGA